UGCGGGUGCGUGUGAGCGUGUGUCUCUCCCC
RNAcentral lists this non-coding RNA (31 nucleotides) under Homo sapiens (human). The record is from RNAcentral. Lineage: Eukaryota; Metazoa; Chordata; Mammalia; Primates; Hominidae.